AAUGUUAUGUCUGAUUAAAGUAAUAAAUUGUAAAUUUAUUUAUGAAAUUUUUUAUUUCUAACAUUA
This 66-nucleotide transfer RNA is filed under the name Ochetellus glaber. RNAcentral's name for it is "tRNA-Tyr". Lineage: Eukaryota; Metazoa; Arthropoda; Insecta; Hymenoptera; Formicidae. The record is from RNAcentral.